Molecule: RNA transcript, 4214 nt
Organism: Oncorhynchus keta (chum salmon)
Lineage: Eukaryota; Metazoa; Chordata; Actinopteri; Salmoniformes; Salmonidae
Gene name: serine/threonine-protein kinase DCLK3-like
Exons: 8
Source: RefSeq, a predicted model, not a curated record
UUAUUAAUUACACUUUGGAUGGUGUAUCAAUACACCCAGUCACUACAAAGAUACAGGCAUCCUUCCUAACUCAAGUCACCAGAGAGGAAGGAAACCGCUCAGGGAUUUCACCAUGAGGCCAAUGGUGAUUUUAAAACAGUUACAGAGUUUAAUGGCUGUGGAAAGAGAAUACUAAGGAUGGAUCAACAACAAUCAGGGUUGGGGAGUAGCAGAUUACAUGUAAUCCCUUAGAUGUAAGGGAUUACAAAAAAACACUAACUGUAAUCUGUUACGUUACCAGCUAAUAUAUUGGAAUCCGAUUACAGAAACGUUUUAAAAACUAGAUGAUCACGUCAAGCAAAAGUAUUUGACACUUCUCUGUUUUCUCAAUUACAUUCAAAGCAGCACUGAAAAAAAUGCCUAAAUGUAAGUUUGUUCCACCUGUGCGAGUCUAAACACAAGUCAGUUUCUCUCUUUCUUUCCUCUGGUCUGUUUGUUUCUGAUUGUUUCUUUCUUUCUUGUGUUUCUUUUUUCUUCCAUCUCUCUGUUUCUGUCUCUCCACGAAGCAUGCAUUUGCCCUGAACAAAACCAGGGAAAAGUUCGUUUUUGUUAUCAAUCGCAUAGCUACUGUUUGUGUUUGUGUGUGUCUACGCAGAGACGUGUAUGAGUGAGGAGAGGCACCGGUCUGUGGCGAACGGGGAGCGAGCUGUGCCAAAACGGUGACGCAUCUCUCCCGUUAUUCUGGCAAUGAUCACCUGGAUUUACCGCUGUGUUGUUGUUACCGAACCGUUUUGUAGUGUUGUUGUUAUGUAAGGUAACAACAUCCCACCCGGCUUCCUGUUGCUUAAUUUACGAGAGAGAGUUUAUGUUGCAAGUCUGGACGCCUAGCACGCGCACAAGUAGCAACUCUGGUGUUCCUUCCGUGAGUUGGUCAGAGGAGGUCAACACGCACAUCCCGUCUACUAUUCCUAAUAUCUCUUCCAAAAACGACAGAGGCAGAAGUUGUUAAAUUAAACAAUGACCUCCACUGUUGGUAAAGAAAUGGUCAACGGAAAGUCCACCGGAAAGUCAGAAUGAGUUUAUUAGUACUGUGAACAGGUAGGCUAUGACGCCCGCGUGGAAGCAACCGUUCGGAUGCGACGUGGCGGCGGACGCUAGAUGGAGAGCAGUAGGUGGAGUACAGUAGUGAUGGUAUCUCUCUCUGUCUUCCAGGUGGAGUACAGUAGUGAUGGUAUCUCUCUCUGUCUUCCAGGUGGAGUACAGUAGUGAUGGUAUCUCUCUCUGUCUUCCAGGUGGAGUACAGUAGUGAUGGUAUCUCUCUCUGUCUUCCAGGUGGAGUACAGUAGUGAUGGUAUCUCUCUCUGUCUUCCAGGUGGAGUACAGUAGUGAUGGUAUCUCUCUCUCUCUCUCUCUUCAAGUUGGAGUACAGUAGUGAUGGUAUCUCUCUCUCUCUCUGGUGGAGUACAGUAAUGAUAGGGUCAGUAGGCUGAAGCUGGGUGAUUUUGGUCUAGCCAUGGUUGUAACAGAACCCAUCUUCACUGUUUGUGGAACACCCACCCAUGUCGCCCCGGAGAUCCUCUCAGAGACAGGGUAUGGUCUGCCGGUAGACCUGUGGGCGUUGGGGGUGAUAGUCCACAUCCUGCUCUGUGGGUUCCCUCCAUUCCGGAGAAGGGACAGAGACCAAGAGGAGCUGUUCCAGAUUAUCAGAGAGGGACACCUCACCUUCCUGGCCCCUUACUGGGAUCACAUAUCUGACGGACAAUGACCCAACACACCUCCAGGCUUUGUAAGGGCUAUUGGACCAAGAAGGAGAGUGAUGGAGUACUGCAUCAGAUGACCUGGCCUCCACAAUCACCCAACCUCAACCCAAUUGAGAUGGUUUGGGAUGAGUUAGACCACAGAAUGAAGGAAAGGCAGCCAACAAGUGCUCAGCAUAUGUGGGAACUCCUUCAAGAGAGAAUGCCAAGAGUGUGCAAAGCUGUCAUCAAGGCAAAGGGUGGCUACUUUGAAGAAUCUAAAAUCUAAAAUAUAUUUUGAUUUGUUUAACACUUUUAUGGUUACUUUAUUUCACAGUUUUGACCUCUUCGUUAGUAUUCUACAAGGUAGAAAAUAGUAAAAAUAAAGAAAAACCCUUGAAUGAGUAGCAGCACAAGGCCUGGUGAAAGCCUUGCUACAGGUGAAUCCAACAGAGCGACUGACAGCAGUGCAGACUCUGAAGCAUCCCUGGAUUCAGACCACUACAGACCAGAACAGACCAGUACCAACCAGCACAGAGUCCAUCCCCUACAGACCAGUACCAACCAGCACAGAGUCCAUCCCCUACAGACCAGUACCGACCAGCACAGAGUCCAUCCCCUACAGACCAGUACCAACCAGCACAGAGUCCAUCCCCUACAGACCAGUACCGACCAGCACAAACCAGUAAAGAACAGCACAGAUCACUACAGACCAUCAGAGAGCAUCAAAAUCAUCAACCCAACUUAUUAAGUCAUCGAAUGCCCCAAGCAACCAGUCGUCUGCUCCAACAAAAGCACAUCCAAUCCCGCCAGCCCACCACCCAUCCAGCCCACCACCCACCCAGCCCACCACCCAUCCAGCCCACCACCCAUCCAGCCCACCACCCCACAUCCAGCCAGCCCACCACCCAUCCAGACCACCACCCACCCAUCCAGCCAGCCCACCACCCAUCCAGCCAGCCCACCACCCAUCCAGCCAGCCCACCACCCAUCCAGCCCACCACCCAUCCAGCCAGCCCACCACCCAUCCGGCCAGACCACUGUUCUCCUCCACCACCCAUCCAGCCCACCACCCAUCCAGCCAGCCCACCAUCCAUCCAGCCCACCACCCAUCCAGCCCACCACCCAUCCAGCCCACCACCCAUCCAGCCAGCCCACCACCCAUCCAGCCAGCCCACCACCCAUCCAGCCCACCACCCAUCCAGCCAGCCCACCACCCAUCCAGUCCACCACCCAUCCAGCCCACCACCCAUCCAGCCAGACCACUGUUCUCCUCCACCACCCAACAGGGCCAAUCAACUCCUCCCCAGCCCCCGGCAGCAGCAGCACGUCUCAACCACCCCACCCAAUCUCACCACCCUCCAUCCUAUCCACAGCACCACCCCAACCCAGCCCCCACCAACCAGGCAGAACCCCUCAAUCGCUCCUUCCACUUUCACCAGCCUCCCUCCAAACACCCACCCUGUCUCAGUCCACCAAACACCAGCAGCACCCCACCCCUCCAGCAGUGUACCACCCCCCAGCACCCCUCCAAAUCUCCCCAGCCCCACUUCCCCUCAACCCAGCCUUCUGAUUGAUGGGGUUCCCAAGACUUUAAACACUUAUCAUUCAGGACUUGUAAAGAUCUGAUAUUCUGUACAGAGUGCCCCCCAUUGCCAUACACUGAUGUUCAGUUCCUCUUCAACUAUAUACGUAGAUGGUAGGUUGUAGUAUUUAGAUGGUAGGUUGUAGUAUUUAGAUGGUAGGUUGUAGUAUUUAGAUGGUAGGUUGUAGUAUUUAGAUGGCAGGUUGUAGUAUUUAGAUGGCAGGUUGUAGUAUUUAGAUGAUAGGUUGUAGUAUUUAGAUGGUAGGUUGUAGUAUUUAGAUGGUAGGUUGUAGUAUUUAGAUGGUAGGUUGUAGUAUUUAGAUUGGCAGGUUGUAGUAUUUAGAUGGUAGGUUGUAGUAUUUAGAUGGUAGGUUGUAGUAUUUAGAUGGUAGGUUGUAGUAUUUAGAUGGUAGGUUGUAGUAUUUAGAUGGUAGGUUGUAGUAUUUAGAUGGUAGGUUGUAGUAUUUAGAUGGGCAGGUUGUAGUAUUUAGAUGGGCAGGUUGUAGUAUUUAGAUGGCAGGUUGUAGUAUUUAGAUGAUAGGUUGUAGUAUUUAGAUGGUAGGUUGUAGUAUUUAGAUGGUAGGUUGUAGUAUUUAGAUGGUAGGUUGUAGUAUAGUAUUUAGAUGGUAGGUUGUAGUAUUUAGAUGUAGAUGGUAGGUUGUAGUAUUUAGAUGGUAGGUUGUAGUAUUUAGAUGGCAGGUUGUAGUAUUUAGAUGGUAGGUUGUAGUAUUUAGAUGGUAGGUUGUAGUAUUUAGAUGGUAGGUUGUAGUAUUUAGAUGGGCAGGUUGUAGUAUUUAGAUGUAGAUGGUAGGUUGUAGUAUUUAGAUGGUAGGUUGUAGUAUUUAGUUCAGUAGAUGAUCUAAUAUCGAACAUGACAGAUAACUUAAUACUUUCAAUAAAUGUUUUUUUUCUGA